Non-coding RNA from Heterocephalus glaber (naked mole-rat), 73 nucleotides. The record is from Rfam. NCBI's taxonomy places the organism in Eukaryota, Metazoa, Chordata, Mammalia, Rodentia, Bathyergidae.
GGGGGUAUAAGCUCAAUGGUAGAGCACUUGCCUAGCAUGCGUGGGACCUUGGGUUCCACCCUCAGUACCACCA